RNAcentral lists this long non-coding RNA (930 nucleotides) under Dasypus novemcinctus (nine-banded armadillo). RNAcentral's name for it is "lncRNA (ENSDNOG00000051104.1)". Lineage: Eukaryota; Metazoa; Chordata; Mammalia; Cingulata; Dasypodidae. The record is from RNAcentral.
AUGAUGCAGCGACUGUGGACAACGACCAGUGUUGGUAGACACCGGGUGGGAGGCUUCCAUACGGGGACCCGCAACGCCUGGAAGUGUGGGGUGCUGAAGGCCGAGGAGAGAAAGAACCGUGGUCUGGGUGGGGAGAGGCGGGGCUGUCCAGGCAGGGAGCGGAAAUGGUUCGGGGAAUCUGUCGCUGGAGCUGCCGGGGAGCUGGGAUGCGGCGCGGGCCACGUGCGCUUUGGAGUACUUAGGGUGGUGGUGGCCGCAGGACGGUGGGCAGAGACCCUCCACAGGCAGGGCCUGGCGCUGGGGCGACCACCCUGCACCCGCAAGGGCGUCCCUUGCCUCUCUCCUUUAAAUCUUGAGACUAAUGACAUCUCAGGCGGAGGCGGGCCCUUCCAAACCAGGCCGUGGGUCUGCACAGGGAAGAAUGCGCCUGACUUUGCCGCGGAUCCCGAGCGCGCGGGAGCAAGAGCCAGAGAGAGGUGGGGGUUUCCAACUGAUGCCAGAUCAGACCCAGGCAAAGCUGUGGAAUAGUGGAAGUUUGUCUUCAAUGCCUCCCUUGCUUUCCCCUACCACUAAACAGACUUCUCUGAUUAAAAGCACAUAUGCAAGGGAAGACAUGCUGAGGGGUGUGGAGUUUUUCUUUUUGGAGUAAUGAAAUAAUUCUAAAGUUUUUUAUGAUGAUGAAGGCACAACCUUAUGAUUAUACUAAAAGCCAUUGAUUAUACACUUUUAGAUAGAUUGUAUGGUAUGUGAAUAAAACUAAAUAAAUAAUUGUGUAAGAAUAGCCAGAAAUAGCAGCUAUGUACAGCAGGGGAAACAUAUUAUUAUUAUUACUAUGAUUGAGAUAAUGAAAAUGCUUUAAACAUGAUUGAAGUGAUGAAUGUACAACUAUGUGAUAUACCAUUGAUUGUACACUUUGGAUGAACUGUAUGC